RNAcentral lists this ribosomal RNA (550 nucleotides) under uncultured bacterium. RNAcentral describes it as "bacterial SSU rRNA". It matches the Rfam family "Bacterial small subunit ribosomal RNA", at positions 1 to 518 of the family's 1533-position model. The record is from RNAcentral.
UUGGCAGUUCAGAGGGUUCGAGUUCUGGCUCAGAACGAACGCUGGCGGCGUGGAUUAGGCAUGCAAGUCGAACGGGAGUUUACGUUGUAGCAAUACUAUGUAAAGUCUAGUGGCGUAAGGGUGAGUAACACGUGGGUAAUGUACCCGAUAGUUGGGAUAACGUCCGAAAGGACGCUAAUACCGGAUGUGAUGUUAAACCGCCGGGUUUAACAAGAAAGGUGGGGACCGCAAGGCCUGCCGCUAACGGAACGGCCCGCGACCUAUUAGCUAGUUGGUGGGGUAAAGGCCUACCAAGGCGAGGAUGGGUAGCCGAACUGAGAGGUUGACCGGCCACACUGGGACUGAGACACUGCCCAGACUUCUACGGAAGGCUGCAGUCGAGAAUCAUUCACAAUGGACGAAAGUCUGAUGAUGCGACGCCGCGUGCGCGAAUGAAGGUCUUCGGAUUGUAAAGCGCUUUGAACAGGGAAGAAUGCCGCGUAUUUAAUAGAUAACGCGGAGGGACAGUACCUGACAAACAAGCCCCGGCUAAUUUCGUGCCAGCCGCGGC